AAAUUGAAGAGUUUGAUCAUGGCUCAGAUUGAACGCUGGCGGCAGGCCUAACACAUGCAAGUCGAGCGGUAGCACAGAGAGCUUGCUCUCGGGUGACGAGCGGCGGACGGGUGAGUAAUGUCUGGGAAACUGCCUGAUGGAGGGGGAUAACUACUGGAAACGGUAGCUAAUACCGCAUAAUGUCGCAAGACCAAAGUGGGGGACCUUCGGGCCUCAUGCCAUCAGAUGUGCCCAGAUGGGAUUAGCUAGUAGGUGGGGUAACGGCUCACCUAGGCGACGAUCCCUAGCUGGUCUGAGAGGAUGACCAGCCACACUGGAACUGAGACACGGUCCAGACUCCUACGGGAGGCAGCAGUGGGGAAUAUUGCACAAUGGGCGCAAGCCUGAUGCAGCCAUGCCGCGUGUGUGAAGAAGGCCUUCGGGUUGUAAAGCACUUUCAGCGGGGAGGAAGGCGUUAAGGUUAAUAACCUUGGCGAUUGACGUUACCCGCAGAAGAAGCACCGGCUAACUCCGUGCCAGCAGCCGCGGUAAUACGGAGGGUGCAAGCGUUAAUCGGAAUUACUGGGCGUAAAGCGCACGCAGGCGGUCUGUCAAGUCGGAUGUGAAAUCCCCGGGCUUAACCUGGGAACUGCAUUCGAAACUGGCAGGCUAGAGUCUUGUAGAGGGGGGUAGAAUUCCAGGUGUAGCGGUGAAAUGCGUAGAGAUCUGGAG
This 711-nucleotide ribosomal RNA is filed under the name Klebsiella pneumoniae. Its description in RNAcentral is "bacterial SSU rRNA". It matches the Rfam family "Bacterial small subunit ribosomal RNA", at positions 1 to 703 of the family's 1533-position model. The record is from RNAcentral. Lineage: Bacteria; Pseudomonadati; Pseudomonadota; Gammaproteobacteria; Enterobacterales; Enterobacteriaceae.